Molecule: long non-coding RNA, 345 nt
Organism: Daphnia pulicaria
Lineage: Eukaryota; Metazoa; Arthropoda; Branchiopoda; Diplostraca; Daphniidae
Exons: 2
Source: RefSeq, a predicted model, not a curated record
UUGUAUUCUGGUCAAGGGGUACAGCGAGAGAGAGCGUGUGUCGGGCAAGAGAGAGAUGAAGGGGAGAAGCGGCGGCUUAUAUCUAGUGGUGUUGCUGUGUCAGCAUGUCUUCCGGUAAGUCCGGGCUAUCUUCAUGGUCGGUCUGGGUUGUAACGCCGGCUGGUCCGAACGUGAGUGAGGGCCAGCUCGGCCUGGACGAGUGCUGACUCGGGAGUUGCUGAGUCCGCGUUGUGUCCGGCGUGACGUAGGGUGUGGUGCCGGUCGUGACGUCCUAGCGUGACGUCGGCGUGACGUCAUUGGUGUGACGUCGGGGGGCGGGGCCAAUAGGCUCCGCGGGGCAUUACA